This 27-nucleotide non-coding RNA is filed under the name Bombyx mori (domestic silkworm). Lineage: Eukaryota; Metazoa; Arthropoda; Insecta; Lepidoptera; Bombycidae. The record is from RNAcentral.
UACUGAUGAAUCUCCUGCGGUUGAUGC